GUCACCUGACAUUGUCUUGUAGAUGGUUCCAGUCCAAAAAAGAUGAAAGGAAUUACAGAACAAGUGACUCAUAUUGUAUGCAAAAAUUUUAGAGGGGCUGCAGAUAUAUAUUGAUUUUUAUGGGAUAAAAAGGUAAUCUCCCUUCUUGAGGAGAUACUGACUUCACAAGCUUUAUCUUGUUGUGUCAAAGUGAUUGGAGAAGUUUAGAAUCAGCUUUAUCCACGUAGACAUGGAAUGAAGAACAAUAUACAAGUUCCACAGGAGAUAAAUUGUGAAGUAGGCAGCAAUGGCGGCAACUAUGGCAGUUUAUGGGCUUUAUCCAGGUAGACAUGGAAUGAAGAACAGUAUACAGGUUCUAUAGGAGAUAAAUUGUGAAAUGUGAAGUCGGCAGCUAUGGCGGCAACUAUGGCAGUUUAAUGCGUGAUUGCAGGGGAUUUGCUAUGCUACCAGAUUUCUUAAAAAAGUGGUUGAC
RNAcentral lists this long non-coding RNA (472 nucleotides) under Nicotiana benthamiana. Its description in RNAcentral is "long non-coding RNA (NBEN_LNC009301)". Lineage: Eukaryota; Viridiplantae; Streptophyta; Magnoliopsida; Solanales; Solanaceae. The record is from RNAcentral.